UACGUAGGGUGCAAGCGUUGUCCGGAAUUAUUGGGCGUAAAGAGCUCGUAGGCGGUCUGUUGCGUCGGCUGUGAAAACCCGGGGCUCAACUCCGGGCCUGCAGCCGAUACGGGCAGACUAGAGUUCGGCAGGGGAGACUGGAAUUCCUGGUGUAGCGGUGAAAUGCGCAGAUAUCAGGAGGAACACCGGUGGCGAAGGCGGGUCUCUGGGCAACAACUGACGCUGAGGAGCGAAAGCGUGGGGAGCGAACAGG
RNAcentral lists this ribosomal RNA (253 nucleotides) under uncultured bacterium. Its description in RNAcentral is "partial 16S ribosomal RNA". It matches the Rfam family "Bacterial small subunit ribosomal RNA", at positions 524 to 776 of the family's 1533-position model. The record is from RNAcentral.